CCUACGGUGGCAGCAGUAGGGAAUAUUUCUCAAUUGGGGAAACCCUUAAGCAGCAACGCCGCGUGGAGGAUGAAGGUUUUCGGAUUGUAAACUCCUUUUGUUAGAGAAGAUAAUGACGGUAUCUAACGAAUAAGCACCGGCUAACUCCGUGCAAGCAUCCGCGGUAAUACGGAGGGUGCAAGCGUUACUCGGAAUCACUGGGCGUAAAGAGCGCGUAGGCGGGAUAUAAAGUCAGAUGUGAAAUCCUAUGGCUUAACCAUAGAACUGCAUUUGAAACUGUUAUUCUAGAGUAUGGGAGAGGUAGGUGGAAUUCUUGGUGUAGCGGUAAAAUCCGUAGAGAUCAAGAGGAAUACCCAUUGCGAAGGCGACCUGCUAGAACAUAACUGACGCUGAUGCGCGAAAGCGUGGGGAGCAAACAGGAUUAGAUACCCUUGUAGUC
RNAcentral lists this ribosomal RNA (439 nucleotides) under uncultured bacterium. RNAcentral's name for it is "partial 16S ribosomal RNA". It matches the Rfam family "Bacterial small subunit ribosomal RNA", at positions 338 to 795 of the family's 1533-position model. The record is from RNAcentral.